UCGAGGGGCAGCGGGGGCGUAGCAAUAUGCCUGCCGGCGACCGGCGCACGGGUGAGUAACACGUAUGUAACCUGCCCUAUGCAGGGGGAUAACCCGGAGAAAUCCGGCCUAAUACCGCGUAACACCUUUGGGGAGCAUUCCCUUGGGGUUAAAGGAGAGAUCCGGCAUAGGAUGGACAUGCGUCGCAUUAGGUAGAUGGCGGGGUAACGGCCCACCGUGCCGACGAUGCGUAGGGGUUCUGAGAGGAAGGCCCCCCACACUGGUACUGAGACACGGACCAGACUCCUACGGGAGGCAGCAGUGAGGAAUAUUGGUCAAUGGCCGAGAGGCUGAACCAGCCAAGUCGCGUGAGGGAAGAAUGUCCUAAGGAUUGUAAACCUCUUUUGUCGGGGAGCAAAAAGGCUCUGCGGAGUCGUAUUGAGAGUACCCGAAGAAAAAGCAUCGGCUAACUCCGUGCCAGCAGCCGCGGUAAUACGGAGGAUGCGAGCGUUAUCCGGAUUUAUUGGGUUUAAAGGGUGCGCAGGCGGCGUGUCAAGCAAGCGGUAAAAUAGCGGGGCUCAACCCCGUCGAGCCGUUUGAACUGGCGCGCUUGAGUUCAGGCGAGGUAGGCGGAAUUCGUGGUGUAGCGGUGAAAUGCAUAGAUCUCCCGAGGAACUCCGAUUGCGAAGGCAGCUUACCAGUCUGCGACUGACGCUCAGGCACGAAAGUGUGG
Molecule: ribosomal RNA, 712 nt
Filed under: uncultured bacterium
Lineage: Bacteria
Description: bacterial SSU rRNA
Rfam family: Bacterial small subunit ribosomal RNA
Source: RNAcentral